GGUGCUAUACAUGCAAGUCGAGCGAACAGAUAAGGAGCUUGCUCCUUUGACGUUAGCGGCGGACGGGUGAGUAACACGUGGGUAACCUACCUAUAAGACUGGAAUAACUCCGGGAAACCGGGGCUAAUGCCGGAUAACAUAUAGAACCGCAUGGUUCUAUAGUGAAAGAUGGUUUUGCUAUCACUUAUAGAUGGACCCGCGCCGUAUUAGCUAGUUGGUAAGGUAAUGGCUUACCAAGGCGACGAUACGUAGCCGACCUGAGAGGGUGAUCGGCCACACUGGAACUGAGACACGGUCCAGACUCCUACGGGAGGCAGCAGUAGGGAAUCUUCCGCAAUGGGCGAAAGCCUGACGGAGCAACGCCGCGUGAGUGAUGAAGGGUUUCGGCUCGUAAAACUCUGUUAUUAGGGAAGAACAUAUGUGUAAGUAACUGUGCACAUCUUGACGGUACCUAAUCAGAAAGCCACGGCUAACUACGUGCCAGCAGCCGCGGUAAUACGUAGGUGGCAAGCGUUAUCCGGAAUUAUUGGGCGUAAAGCGCGCGUAGGCGGUUUCUUAAGUCUGAUGUGAAAGCCCACGGCUCAACCGUGGAGGGUCAUUGGAAACUGGGAAACUUGAGUGCAGAAGAGGAAAGUGGAAUUCCAUGUGUAGCGGUGAAAUGCGCAGAGAUAUGGAGGAACACCAGUGGCGAAGGCGACUUUCUGGUCUGUAACUGACGCUGAUGUGCGAAAGCGUGGGGAUCAAACAGGAUUAGAUACCCUGGUAGUCCACGCCGUAAACGAUGAGUGCUAAGUGUUAGGGGGUUUCCGCCCCUUAGUGCUGCAGCUAACGCAUUAAGCAC
This 841-nucleotide ribosomal RNA is filed under the name Staphylococcus gallinarum. Its description in RNAcentral is "bacterial SSU rRNA". It matches the Rfam family "Bacterial small subunit ribosomal RNA", at positions 44 to 867 of the family's 1533-position model. The record is from RNAcentral. Lineage: Bacteria; Bacillati; Bacillota; Bacilli; Caryophanales; Staphylococcaceae.